AUGAAGUUACGAGAUGUGUGGGUGUGGAAGAGGAGAAGGAGUUUUUCUCUUGGAAGGAACUCCAUGCCAAUUUAUUUUGGAUGCCUCCUUUAUUUUGGGAAUUGAAGUGGAAGAGUCCACUUCACUUGGGACUUAAUUUCCUUAAUAUUCCAUGUGUUUUCUUCACCCCACGCACCAUUUGAUGGCUUUUGGGAUAAUGUUGGCAUAGAAGUGGAGGAGUCCUUCUACUUGAAGGCUCUUCCACACCCAAAAACUUCUAUAUAAAAAUUAAACCUUUAUGGAAAGUAAUGGGAAGUCGCUUGAGAUGUUGCUGCACCAAACAUUGAUUCCUCUCUUAAAACUUCUUAAUUCUUACCAGCCUAUUUUUUUGGGACC
This 375-nucleotide long non-coding RNA is filed under the name Elaeis guineensis (African oil palm). Its description in RNAcentral is "long non-coding RNA (EGUI_LNC067564)". Lineage: Eukaryota; Viridiplantae; Streptophyta; Magnoliopsida; Arecales; Arecaceae. The record is from RNAcentral.